UCCGAAUUGGUGUAGGGGUUAACAUUGCCGCCUCUCAGAUUAUGUAAUCAGGUCGCGGCAGCCCGGGGUUCGAUUCCCCGAUUCGGAA
Non-coding RNA from Mycena galopus ATCC 62051, 88 nucleotides. The record is from the annotation of a GenBank genome assembly. NCBI's taxonomy places the organism in Eukaryota, Fungi, Basidiomycota, Agaricomycetes, Agaricales, Mycenaceae.